RNAcentral lists this ribosomal RNA (301 nucleotides) under uncultured bacterium. Its description in RNAcentral is "partial 16S ribosomal RNA". It matches the Rfam family "Bacterial small subunit ribosomal RNA", at positions 509 to 808 of the family's 1533-position model. The record is from RNAcentral.
CAGUAGCCGCGGGAAUACGGAGGGUGCAAGCGUUAAUCGGAAUUACUGGGCGUAAAGCGCACGCAGGCGGUUUGUUAAGUCAGAUGUGAAAUCCCCGAGCUUAACUUGGGAACUGCAUUUGAAACUGGCAAGCUAGAGUCUUGUAGAGGGGGGUAGAAUUCCAGGUGUAGCGGUGAAAUGCGUAGAGAUCUGGAGGAAUACCGGUGGCGAAGGCGGCCCCCUGGACAAAGACUGACGCUCAGGUGCGAAAGCGUGGGGAGCAAACAGGAUUAGAUACCCGGGUAGUCCCUGUCUCUAUACA